UGUGUCUGACUGUGUGUCAGUGAGUGUGCGUGUCUACUAGUGUGUGUGUGUCUGUUAGUGUGUGUCUGACUAUGUGUGUGUCUGUUAGUGUGAGUGUGUUUGCCUGUGAGUGUGUGUGUCAGUGAGUGUGUGUCUGUUAAUGUGUGUGUGUGUUUGUUAGUGUGUGUCUGACUGUGUGAGUGUGUGUGUGUCUGCUAGUGAGUGAGUGUGUCUGUUAGUGUGUGUGUCUGACUGUGUUUGUCUGUUAGUGUGUAUGUGUGUGUCUGACUGUGUGUCAGUGAGUGUGUGUGUGUCUGCU
Pelobates cultripes (western spadefoot toad) is the source of this 298-nucleotide non-coding RNA. The record is from the annotation of a GenBank genome assembly. Lineage: Eukaryota; Metazoa; Chordata; Amphibia; Anura; Pelobatidae.